CUGAUGAAUCAUAAUAACUGUUCGGACCGCGAGACUUCGGUCGGCGGCAGUUCAUUCAAAUUUCUGCCCUAUCAACUUUCGACGGUAGUGUAGUGGACUACCGUGGUGUUAACGGGUGACGGAGAAUUAGGGUUUGACUCCGGAGAGGGAGCCUGAGAAACGGCUACCACAUCCAAGGAAGGCAGCAGGGGCGCAAAUUGGCCAAUCCUGACACAGGGAGCCAGUGACAAUAAAUAACAAUACCGAUCCUUUUUAGGUUUGGUAAUUGGAAUGAGUACAAUUUAAAUACUUUAACGAUGAUCCACUGGAGGGAAAGUCUGGUGCCAGCAGCCGCGGUAAUUCCAGCUCCAGUAGCGUAUAUUAAAGUUGUUGCAGUUAAAAAGCUCGUAGUUGGAUUUCUGGCGGACGCGCCCGGCCCGCUGGGAUUUAUCCCAUGUUGAGUUGCUGGCGUGCGUCCGUCUUCCUUGUGGGGAAGCGUCGCUCCCGUUCUGCGGAGGGCGGCGCCGCUCUGCAUCUUUUACUUUGAAAAAAUUAGAGUGUUUAAAGCAGGCUUGCGCUUUUGAAUACAUUAGCAUGGAAUAAUAAUAUAGGACUUCGGCCUAUUUGUUGGUUCUGGGACGAAGUAAUGAUUGAUAGGGAUAGUUGGGGGUGCCUGUAUUAUGCGGUCAGAGGUGAAAUUCUUGGAUUCGCGUAAGACAAACUUAUGCGAAAGCAUUCGCCAAGGAUGUCUUCUUUAAUCAAGAACGAAAGUUGAGGGAUCGAAGACGAUCAGAUACCGUCGUAGUCUCAACCAUAAACUAUACCGACUAAGGAUGAGUGAACGUUGCAUUUUCGACUUCAUUCGCACCUUAUGAGAAAUCAAAGUCUUUGGGUUCCGGGGGGAGUAUGUCGCAAGGCUGAAACUUAAAGGAAUUGACGGAAGGGCACCACCAGGAAGUGGAGCCUGCGGCUUAAUUUGACCCAACACGGGAAAACUUACCAGGUCCAGACUCUGUAAGGAUUGACAGAUUGAAGAUCUUUCUUAAUUUGGAGGGUGGUGGUGCAUGGCCGUUCGCAGUUGGUGGAGUGAUUUGUCUGGUUAAUUCCGUUAACGAACGAGACCUCACCCUGCUAAUUAGUAGUGAGAACUUCUGGUUCUUCCGCUACUUCUUAGAGGGACUACUGGUAUUUAGCCAGUGGAAGUUUGAGGCAAUAACAGGUCUGUGAUGCCCUUAGAUGUUCUGGGCUGCACGUGCGUUACAAUGCUGGGUGCAUCGAGUAUACAACCUUGACUGAGAGGUCUGGGUAAUCUUUUCAACGCCCAGCGUGCUGGGGAUAGAUUAUUGUAAUUAUUAAUCUUCAACGAGGAAUUCCUAGUAAACGCCAGUCAUCAACUGGCAUUGAUUACGUCCCUGCCCUUUGUACACACCGCCCGUCGCUGCUACCGAUUGGAUGACUUAGUGAGCUUUAGGUAUUGCGCUCCGAGGUUGGCUCUGCCUUCUUUGGGGUGUGAGAACUAACGCAAACUUGAUCAUCUAGAGGAAGCAAAAGUCGUAACAAGGUU
Molecule: ribosomal RNA, 1543 nt
Filed under: metagenome
Description: SSU rRNA
Rfam family: Eukaryotic small subunit ribosomal RNA
Source: RNAcentral